This 74-nucleotide transfer RNA is filed under the name Nematostella vectensis (starlet sea anemone). Its description in RNAcentral is "tRNA-Asn". It matches the Rfam family "tRNA". From Rfam's summary of the family: Transfer RNA (tRNA) molecules are approximately 80 nucleotides in length. Their secondary structure includes four short double-helical elements and three loops (D, anti-codon, and T loops). The record is from Rfam by way of RNAcentral. Lineage: Eukaryota; Metazoa; Cnidaria; Anthozoa; Actiniaria; Edwardsiidae.
GUCUUUGUGGCGCAAUCGGUUAGCGCGUUCGACUAUUAACCGGAAGGUCGGUGGUUCAAGCCCAUCCUUAGGCG